GUUAGGAAUAUUGGACAAUGGGCGAAAGCCUGAUCCAGCCAUGCCGCGUGAACGAUGAAGGCCUUCGGGUUGUAAAGUUCUUUAGCCGAUGAUUAUAAUGACUGUAGUCGGAAAAUAAGCCCCGGCUAACUUCGUGCCAGCAGCCGCGGUAAUACGAAGGGGGCGAGCGUUAUUCGGAAUCACUGGGCGUAAAGCGUGCGUAGGCGGUUUUGUAAGUUAGGAGUGAAAGCCCAGGGAUCAACCUUGGAAUUGCUCUUAAAACUGCAAGGCUCGAAUCUCGGAGAGGAUAGCGGAAUUUCCAGUGUAGCAGUGAAAUGCGUAGAUAUUGGAAGGAACACCAGUGGCGUAAGCGGCUAUCUGGACGAGUAUUGACGCUGAGGCACGAAAGCGUGGGGAUCAAACAGGAUUAGAAACCCUUGUAGUCC
RNAcentral lists this ribosomal RNA (425 nucleotides) under uncultured bacterium. RNAcentral's name for it is "partial 16S ribosomal RNA". It matches the Rfam family "Bacterial small subunit ribosomal RNA", at positions 354 to 796 of the family's 1533-position model. The record is from RNAcentral.